GACGAACGCUGGCGGCGUGCUUAACACAUGCAAGUCGAACGAAGUGGCGAACGGGUGAGUAAUACGUGAGUAACCUGCCCUCCUUUUUGGGGUAAGCCUUGGAAACGGGGUCUAAUACCGGAUAAAGGGGGAUGGGCGCGCGGCCUAUCAGCUUGUGGGUGGGGUGAUGGCCUACCAAGGCGGUACCGGGUAGCCGGCCUGAGGGGGUGACCGUGCAAAUUGGACCUGGUCUACGGCCCAGACUCAUACGGGAGGCAGCAGUGGGGGAUAUUGCACGAUGGGCGAAAGCCGCAUUCACCGACGCCGCGUGGGGGAUGUAGGCUUUCGGGUUGUAAACCUCUUUCGCUAUCGAACCGGUAGGUGGAGAAGAAGCGCCGGCUAACUACGUGCCAGCAGCCGCGGUAAUUC
This 408-nucleotide ribosomal RNA is filed under the name uncultured bacterium. RNAcentral describes it as "partial 16S ribosomal RNA". It matches the Rfam family "Bacterial small subunit ribosomal RNA", at positions 28 to 526 of the family's 1533-position model. The record is from RNAcentral.